GCGUUGUCCGGAUUUAUUGGGUUUAAAGGGUGCGUAGGUGGCCUUAUAAGUCCGUGGUGAAAGCCUCUCGCUCAACGAGAGAACUGCCAUGGAUACUGUAGGGCUUGAGGGUAGACGAGGUUGGCGGAAUAGAAGGUGUAGCGGUGAAAUGCAUAGAUACCUUCUAGAACCCCGAUUGCGUAGGCAGCUGACUAGGCUACACCUGACACUGAGGCACGAAAGCGUG
Molecule: ribosomal RNA, 226 nt
Filed under: uncultured bacterium
Lineage: Bacteria
Description: partial 16S ribosomal RNA
Rfam family: Bacterial small subunit ribosomal RNA
Source: RNAcentral